ACCCUGUUCCCUCCUCCUGUUGUCCUGGUAUUCAUCCGCUAGUCUGGCAGCUUCCUCUACGGUUUUAGGCUUUCUGUCUUUUACCCAAUCUUUUAUAUCGUCUGCAGUAUGAUUAAAGAAUUGUUCCAAUAGCAUAAGUUGUAAGGCAUCCUCCAGGGUAGUUGCUUGGCAGUCCUGCAUCCAAUUACGGGCUGCCCUGUG
Molecule: non-coding RNA, 201 nt
Organism: Pelobates cultripes (western spadefoot toad)
Lineage: Eukaryota; Metazoa; Chordata; Amphibia; Anura; Pelobatidae
Source: the annotation of a GenBank genome assembly